RNAcentral lists this ribosomal RNA (501 nucleotides) under Bemisia tabaci. RNAcentral describes it as "partial 16S ribosomal RNA". It matches the Rfam family "Bacterial large subunit ribosomal RNA", at positions 1833 to 2620 of the family's 2925-position model. The record is from RNAcentral. Lineage: Eukaryota; Metazoa; Arthropoda; Insecta; Hemiptera; Aleyrodidae.
GAAGGGCGGACCUUUAGGAUCAAUCUCUGCUCAAUGAGUAAAUUAAAUAGCUGCAGUAAAUUAACUGUACUAAGGUAGCAUAAUAAGUUGCUUUAUAAUUAAAAGCUUGAAUGAAAGAAAUAAUGUGAAACAAGCUUUUUAAACUAAAGUAGUAAAAAUUAAUAUUUAAGUGAAAAAUCUUAAAUAAAAUCAAAAGACAAGAAGACCCUUUAGAACUUUACAAAUUAACUUAAUUUCAUUUGGUUAAUUUUGUUAGAUUGGGGAGAUUUUUAAAUAAAUAAAUCUUUAGAUAUAAAAAAAUGAUUUAAAUCAAAUUAAAUUAUCCAAAUAUGAAAUAAAACAAGUUACCUAAGGGAUAACAGCGCAAAAUUUUUGAGAAGUUCUCAUUUACAAAAUAAAUUGCGACCUCGAUGUUGGAUUAAGAACAACUUAUAAAGAAAAAUUUAUAAGAGUUGGUCUGUUCGCCCAAAUAAAUCUUACAUGAUCUGAGUUCAAACCGGA